CUACUGGGGUAUCUAAUCCUGUUCGCUACCUACGCUUUCGUCCAUCAGCGUCAAUAUAGUAUUAGUGAUCUGCCUUCGCAAUCGGUAUUCUGUGUAAUAUCUAUGCAUUUCACCGCUACACUACACAUUCUAACCACUUCAUACUAAUUCAAGAACUACAGUAUCAAUGGCAGUUCUACAGUUAAGCUGCAGACUUUCACCACUGACUUAUAAUCCCGCCUACGGACCCUUUAAACCCAAUGAUUCCGGAUAACGCUUGGAUCCUCCGUAUUACCGCGGCUGCUGGCAC
RNAcentral lists this ribosomal RNA (289 nucleotides) under uncultured Zunongwangia sp. RNAcentral's name for it is "partial 16S ribosomal RNA". Lineage: Bacteria; Pseudomonadati; Bacteroidota; Flavobacteriia; Flavobacteriales; Flavobacteriaceae. The record is from RNAcentral.